Molecule: ribosomal RNA, 839 nt
Filed under: uncultured soil bacterium
Lineage: Bacteria
Description: bacterial SSU rRNA
Rfam family: Bacterial small subunit ribosomal RNA
Source: RNAcentral
AGAAUCAACGCUGGCGGCGCGCCUAACACAUGCAAGUCGAACGAGAAAGUGGAGCAAUCCAUGAGUACAGUGGCGUACGGGUGAGCAACACGUGGGUAAUCUACCUUUUAGUGAGGAAUAACCCUGGGAAACCGGGGCUAAUACCGCAUAAGCCUGAGAAGGGAAAGCAGAAAUGCGCUGAAAGAGGAGCCCGCAGCCGAUUAGCUAGUUGGUGGGGUAAGAGCCCACCAAGGCAGAGAUCGGUAGCCGGCCUGAGAGGGCACACGGCCACACUGGCACUGAAACACGGGCCAGACUCCUACGGGAGGCAGCAGUGGGGAAUCUUGCACAAUGGGGGAAACCCUGAUGCAGCGACGCCGCGUGAGCGAUGAAGCCCUUCGGGGUGUAAAGCUCUUUCGUCAGGGAAGAUAGUGACGGUACCUGGAGAAGCAGCUGCGGCUAACUACGUGCCAGCAGCCGCGGUAAUACGUAGGCAGCAAGCGUUGUUCGGAGUUACUGGGCGUAAAGGGUGUGUAGGCGGUUCUUUAAGUUUGGUGUGAAAUCUCCCGGCUUAACCGGGAGGGUGCGCCGAAUACUGAGGGACUAGAGUACGGGAGAGGAAAGUGGAAUUCCUGGUGUAGCGGUGAAAUGCGUAGAUAUCAGGAGGAACACCGGUGGUGUAGACGGCUUUCUGGACCGUAACUGACGCUGAGACACGAAAGCGUGGGUAGCAAACAGGAUUAGAUACCCUGGUAGUCCACGCCCUAAACGAUGCAUAUUUGGUGUGGGCAGUUCAUUCUGUCUGUGCCGGAGCUAACGCGUUAAAUAUGCCGCCUGGGGAGUACAGUCGCAAGGCUGAA